GGAGCCGUAGCUCAGCUGGUUAGAGCGCUUCCCUGUCACGGAAGAGGUCGCGGGUUCGAGUCCCGUUGGCUCCGCCA
RNAcentral lists this transfer RNA (77 nucleotides) under Candidatus Peribacteraceae bacterium. RNAcentral's name for it is "tRNA-Asp". It matches the Rfam family "tRNA". From Rfam's summary of the family: Transfer RNA (tRNA) molecules are approximately 80 nucleotides in length. The record is from RNAcentral. Lineage: Bacteria; Candidatus Peregrinibacteriota; Candidatus Peribacteria; Candidatus Peribacterales.